UACAUGUGGGGCAAGCGUUGUUCGGAAUUACUGGGCAUAAAGGGUGCGUAGGCGGCUUGUUAAGUCAUGGGUGAAAUCCGGUGGCCCAACCAUCGAACUGCCUGUGAAACUGAUGAGCUUGAGUGCGUGAGGGGUAAGCGGAACGAGCAGUGUAGCGGUGAAAUGCGUAGAUAUUGCUCGGAAGGCCAAUGGCGAAGGCAGCUUACUGGUACGUAACUGACGCUGAGGCACGAAAGCGUGGGGAGCAAACAGG
RNAcentral lists this ribosomal RNA (253 nucleotides) under uncultured bacterium. RNAcentral's name for it is "partial 16S ribosomal RNA". It matches the Rfam family "Bacterial small subunit ribosomal RNA", at positions 524 to 776 of the family's 1533-position model. The record is from RNAcentral.